RNAcentral lists this transfer RNA (69 nucleotides) under Gerrhopilus ceylonicus (Jan's worm snake). Its description in RNAcentral is "transfer RNA-Ser". Lineage: Eukaryota; Metazoa; Chordata; Lepidosauria; Squamata; Gerrhopilidae. The record is from RNAcentral.
GAGAGAGAAGCAUUGUAGUAUGUGAUUAAUUUGAAAUUAAUAAAAGGUGAAUUAGUAUCAUCCUUUCUU